AAAUUGUGAAAUGUAAAAGAUGUUGCGGAUAUAGUGACAAUAGGAGAACAUGCAACAACUUGGAACCCCUACGCCAAACAUAAGGACAAGAGAAUCCAAAUAAACAUAGAAUAGUCAGUAAAUAGUAAAUAAUUUGUAUUUGAUUCGACUGGUAGAGAAUUAUUGCAUUCUUUCAUUUCUAUAGAGUUAUGGCUGAAAAAUAGUUUACAAAUUUCAUACUAGGAUAAAUCCCGUAAGCAUACCGGAUCAUUGAAAAGUAAUAAUUUUAGUAAGUUAGAGUAUUGUCAACAGGGUAAUAAUUCUUAAAGCAAACUGCAUUAGUUUUUAGUUAAUUUCAAAUGUAUGUAAACAAAAGAAAAGAUUUUUUUUUAAUUCCAAAUUAUUUUGCAAAUUAUCCAAAUGCUUUGUUUUAUAUGAAUUAUGGGAUAAAUGUAUUGGACUUGUGAAUCCACCUAAUGUUGUUCUUUUUCCAAUUUUCGACUUUUGUAAUUAAUGAUAUUUAUAUAUUCAUGAUAAUCGAUAAUCCAAUUUUAUCUAAUUACCUCUUUCGAGAUAAGUUAAACAUAUUCUAAACACAAUCCAAUCAUUUUCUUAUUAUGAAUUCAUAUGCAAAGUUAAAGCAUUCAAUUGUAUGAUUAUUUAUGUGAUUGCACAUCCCAUGCAUAUUAUUCCUAACAUCUAUUGCUUUUUAAUUUUUUAAUUUUUU
RNAcentral lists this long non-coding RNA (706 nucleotides) under Olea europaea subsp. europaea. Lineage: Eukaryota; Viridiplantae; Streptophyta; Magnoliopsida; Lamiales; Oleaceae. The record is from RNAcentral.